GAGAGAUGAAGUCUGGACAAACAACCAUCAUUCUACCAAUCAGCCCCAGCAAAAGUCUCACAGCUACCAACCUAGCCCUCGGCGGUCUCCAACUCCGCAACCAGCUCCCAAGGCGAUAAUUAGUGAACAGUUUAAUCUGCUCCUCCAACAAGUGUAGAAUUUGAUAGAGUAGUUCGAGGCAUGUAACGCCCAAACCAAAAAUGAUCGUCGUGCAACUAGAUCAACAAGAUGACUUGGCACACCAUGCUGGUCGCAGCCCUGGAAACUCCAGCCGUCACUGCGAAGAUGAUUUUCCUAGCGCUCAUUCCGAAAUGAGUUUUAGCCCGAGAGAUUUGAAAUCACCCUAGCCAGAAAGGCUCU
Molecule: long non-coding RNA, 360 nt
Filed under: Phoenix dactylifera (date palm)
Lineage: Eukaryota; Viridiplantae; Streptophyta; Magnoliopsida; Arecales; Arecaceae
Description: long non-coding RNA (PDAC_LNC008002)
Source: RNAcentral